Long non-coding RNA from Hyaena hyaena (striped hyena), 1632 nucleotides. RefSeq lists it as uncharacterized. The transcript has 4 exons. The record is from RefSeq and is a predicted model, not a curated record. NCBI's taxonomy places the organism in Eukaryota, Metazoa, Chordata, Mammalia, Carnivora, Hyaenidae.
GGUCUUCAGAAAGUGCCGGCAUGAGCCGUGGAAGCUUCUUGUCCAGCGCGCUGAAAAGAUGGCAUGGCUGAGCAGAGUGUAGCCUGUCACUCUGGGAACUAGCAUACAUGGCCUGUCCUAAGGGCCACACUGGAGGACAGCGUAUGCAGGAUUCAUGGGGUGCCCAGGCCAGGCUCAACUGGGGGAAACACUGAGCAAAGCAGGCGCUGCCCCCGGAUCCCCUGUGGGCUUCUGCCGGAGGAUAAGGUUUCUGAUGGAGAAAGUUCAGACCAAAGGCCAAGAGAAUGUGGAGGGAGAAACACCUUUAUUUUCAUCAGAAGCAGUAAUGCGUAUGAACCUGCAGCAACCAUUGACUGUACCAGGUAAGAAAGCAGGAUCCUGGUGGGGGUGAGACACAGGAGAAAUCUUAGAGGAAGCCAGAGGUCACACCUAAUGAAGUCUGAGAUGAAGUCACUUGGAGUAGUAGUAUCUGGUGGCUUAAGCCAUUCCUCAAGCUUUGCUCUUUUCUGGGUGACUGGGAUACACAGCAAUGAUCUACUCUGAGGUGGAAGUUCCUGAAAGCAGGUAUCUGUAGGCCAUUAUUGGUUUAGGAAACCAAUCUAGGAGCUUAACUUCUAGAUGUGCUUCCCAUGAGGAGAGAAAACAUCUUCUGUGACCUUCCCCAGGAACCCUUCCCAGGCCCCUAGCCUGAACCCCUGUUCAGAACAAGGUUAACCUAGUUUCCUGUCAGGACUUUGGACCCCACAGGCCUCUUCCUUGAGAGCAGACGGAAGUCCACGGUGACACACGACUGUGGGUCACAGGCAGACCUAUAAAGAAAGCUCAGGAUUCUUUUGCUGGUUGCUCUUCCUGCCCGUGUUGUUGAGACCGGCUGGUGAGUAAGUCUCCUGCUGCACCAGGGCCUGGCUAGCAGAAGCCUCCACGAGCGGACAGAAGCUCCAGGUAACACGUCAAACUACGGAAUUGAUCUGUUGGCUCUCCUACACCCCCGCUCCACGUAUCCCUUCUUGGUGAUGUGAGGUGUCUUCCUUGUGUGCCCCCUAAUGGCAUAUCAGGGCAGGGUGCUUAGUGAAGCUUCCCUCACACAGAGCAACUGUAAUACUUCUCCCCAGUGUGUGUUUUCUGGUGGGCAUUGACGGAGCUGUUGUUGAAGCUUUUCCCACACUGUGCACGCAGGUAUGGGCUCUGCCCCAUGUGGGCUCGCCGGUGAGCGCUGAACUGGGAGCUGUUGUUGAAUCUCUUUCCACAGACGGUGCACUGGUGGGCAGUGAGGUUGGAGCGCUCACUAAAGCCUUUCCCACACUCGCUGCACUUGUGAGGCUUUUCUCCCGUGUGGAUUCUCUGAUGCCGCACAAGGUAAGAACCUCGGCUAAAGCUUUUCCCACAUUCCUGACACUUAGAAGCUCUGUCCAGCUCGGGGACUGGCUGAUAACAACAGAAAGUUCCUUGAGAGCAGGUUCCCCCUGCACAGGCCUUCUCUCCAGCCUGGAGUAUCUGCUGCCUCUCCCUCUCCUGGGCUGGGGCUGUCCCCUCGUGCUCGCCUGGAGACCGUCUACAUGGCCCUCUCAGCAUAGGCUCACCCUUCCCUUCUCUCUCCGGUUCAGGGUUCCAAAAAAGGUCACCAGACUUUCU